RNAcentral lists this transfer RNA (72 nucleotides) under Triticum aestivum (bread wheat). It matches the Rfam family "tRNA". Rfam says of the family: Transfer RNA (tRNA) molecules are approximately 80 nucleotides in length. The record is from Rfam by way of RNAcentral. Lineage: Eukaryota; Viridiplantae; Streptophyta; Magnoliopsida; Poales; Poaceae.
GUCGUUGUAUUAUAGUGGUAAGUAUUCUGGCCUGUCACGCAGGUGACCCGGGUUCGAUCCCCGGCAACGGCG